RNAcentral lists this ribosomal RNA (468 nucleotides) under uncultured bacterium. Its description in RNAcentral is "partial 16S ribosomal RNA". It matches the Rfam family "Bacterial small subunit ribosomal RNA", at positions 28 to 507 of the family's 1533-position model. The record is from RNAcentral.
GACGAACGCUGGCGGCGUGCUUAACACAUGCAAGUCGAACGGAAAGGCCCUGCUUUUGUGGGGUGCUCGAGUGGCGAACGGGUGAGUAACACGUGAGUAACCUGCACUUGACUGUGGGAUAACUUCUGGAAACUGGGGCUCAUACCGGAUAGGAGCACCUGCUGCAUGGUGGGGGUUGGAAAGUUUCGGCGGUUGGGGAUGGACUCGCGGCUUAUCAGCUUGUUGGUGGGGUAGUGGCUUACCAAGGCUAUGACGGGUAGCCGGCCUGAGAGGGUGACCGGCCACAUUGGGACUGAGAUACGGCCCAGACGCCUACGGGAGGCAGUAGGGGAGAAUAUUGCACAAUGGGCGGAAGCCUGAUGCAGCAACGCCGCGUGCGGGAUGACGGCCUUCGGGUUGUAAACCGCUUUCGCCUGUGACGAAGCGUGAGUGACGGUAAUGGGUAAAGAAGCACCGGCUAACUACGUG